UGCACACCCAUGUUCAUUGCAACGUUAUUCAGAAUAGCUGAGAUAUGGAAUCAACCUACUUGAACAAAGGAAUGGAUAAAGAACAUGUAGUACAUAUGGAACAGCAUUCAGCCUUUAAAAAGAAGCAAAUCCUGUAGUUUGAAACAUGAGUGAAUCUGGAGAACAUUAUGUUAAGUGAAAUAAACCAGGCUCAGAAAGAAAAGUACCUUGUGAUGUCACUUACAUGUGGAAUCUAAAAAAGAUGAACUCACAGAAGCAGCGAAUAGAAUGACGGUUACCAGAGGUUGGAAAGAAGGCAGUUGGGAAGGUGUUGGUCAAAGGAUAUAACAUUUCAAUUAGAUAGAAACAAUGAUCAUCUCAGUUGAAUAAAGAAACAACCAAAAUGCUGAAUUUGAAGAUUUCAAAUGAGAAGCAGUUUCUUUCCCUCACAUUCAAGUGCAGAUCCUUGGGUUCAGCCAGUUCAAUCUCUCAGACCAGGUUUUCUUCAUUUCCCCUGCUUCACACGGUUAUCUUUGAUAAAGGAGAACCUGGUGAAAGUCAGCAUGUAAAUACCACCUCCUGA
RNAcentral lists this long non-coding RNA (562 nucleotides) under Callithrix jacchus (white-tufted-ear marmoset). Its description in RNAcentral is "lncRNA (ENSCJAG00000066964.2)". The record is from RNAcentral. Lineage: Eukaryota; Metazoa; Chordata; Mammalia; Primates; Cebidae.